GAUGAACGCUGGCGGCGUGCCUAAUACAUGCAAGUCGAGCGAACGGACGAGAAGCUUGCUUCUCUGAUGUUAGCGGCGGACGGGUGAGUAACACGUGGAUAACCUACCUAUAAGACUGGGAUAACUUCGGGAAACCGUAGCUAAUACCGGAUAAUAUUUUGAACCGCAUGGUUCAAUAGUGAAAGACGGUUUUGCUGUCACUUAUAGAUGGAUCCGCGCUGCAUUAGCUAGUUGGUAAGGUAACGGCUUACCAAGGCAACGAUGCAUAGCCGACCUGAGAGGGUGAUCGGCCACACUGGAACUGAGACACGGUCCAGACUCCUACGGGAGGCAGCAGUAGGGAAUCUUCCGCAAUGGGCGAAAGCCUGACGGAGCAACGCCGCGUGAGUGAUGAAGGUCUUCGGAUCGUAAAACUCUGUUAUUAGGGAAGAACAUAUGUGUAAGUAACUAUGCACAUCUUGACGGUACCUAAUCAGAAAGCCACGGCUAACUACGUG
This 497-nucleotide ribosomal RNA is filed under the name uncultured bacterium. Its description in RNAcentral is "partial 16S ribosomal RNA". It matches the Rfam family "Bacterial small subunit ribosomal RNA", at positions 28 to 507 of the family's 1533-position model. The record is from RNAcentral.